CAAACGGCCCUUUUAAGGGCCACAAAACAGAAAACACGUUCAUA
Molecule: non-coding RNA, 44 nt
Organism: Pediculus humanus corporis (human body louse)
Lineage: Eukaryota; Metazoa; Arthropoda; Insecta; Psocodea; Pediculidae
Source: Rfam